RNAcentral lists this non-coding RNA (67 nucleotides) under Duganella sp. Leaf126. Its description in RNAcentral is "SAH (S-adenosyl-L-homocysteine) riboswitch aptamer". It matches the Rfam family "SAH (S-adenosyl-L-homocysteine) riboswitch aptamer". RNAcentral also lists the same sequence under 1 other name. The record is from Rfam by way of RNAcentral. Lineage: Bacteria; Pseudomonadati; Pseudomonadota; Betaproteobacteria; Burkholderiales; Oxalobacteraceae.
UGUUCCGAGGAGCGCUGCGACGAAUCCUUUUCGCCAGGCUCGGAAUCUGCAACCGCGCUCACGUUAC